RNAcentral lists this ribosomal RNA (1370 nucleotides) under uncultured bacterium. RNAcentral's name for it is "bacterial SSU rRNA". It matches the Rfam family "Bacterial small subunit ribosomal RNA". The record is from RNAcentral.
AGAGUUUGAUCCUGGCUCAGAACGAACGCUGGCGGCGUGGAUAAGACAUGCAAGUCGAACGAGAGAAUUGCUAGCUUGCUAAUAAUUCUCUAGUGGCGCACGGGUGAGUAACACGUGAGUAACCUGCCCCCGAGAGCGGGAUAGCCCUGGGAAACUGGGAUUAAUACCGCAUAGUAUCGAAAGAUUAAAGCAGCAAUGCGCUUGGGGAUGGGCUCGCGGCCUAUUAGUUAGUUGGUGAGGUAACGGCUCACCAAGGCGAUGACGGGUAGCCGGUCUGAGAGGAUGUCCGGCCACACUGGAACUGAGACACGGUCCAGACACCUACGGGUGGCAGCAGUCGAGAAUCAUUCACAAUGGGGGAAACCCUGAUGGUGCGACGCCGCGUGGGGGAAUGAAGGUCUUCGGAUUGUAAACCCCUGUCAUGUGGGAGCAAAUUAAAAAGAUAGUACCACAAGAGGAAGAGACGGCUAACUCUGUGCCAGCAGCCGCGGUAAUACAGAGGUCUCAAGCGUUGUUCGGAAUCACUGGGCGUAAAGCGUGCGUAGGCUGUUUCGUAAGUCGUGUGUGAAAGGCGCGGGCUCAACCCGCGGACGGCACAUGAUACUGCGAGACUAGAGUAAUGGAGGGGGAACCGGAAUUCUCGGUGUAGCAGCGAAAUGCGUAGAUAUCGAGAGGAACACUCGUGGCGAAGGCGGGUUCCUGGACAUUAACUGACGCUGAGGCACGAAGGCCAGGGGAGCGAAAGGGAUUAGAUACCCCUGUAGUCCUGGCAGUAAACGGUGCACGCUUGGUGUGCGGGGAAUCGACCCCCUGCGUGCCGGAGCUAACGCGUUAAGCGUGCCGCCUGGGGAGUACGGUCGCAAGAUUAAAACUCAAAGAAAUUGACGGGGACCCGCACAAGCGGUGGAGUAUGUGGCUUAAUUCGAUGCAACGCGAAGAACCUUACCUGGGCUUGACAUGUAAUGAACAACAUGUGAAAGCAUGCGACUCUUCGGAGGCGUUACACAGGUGCUGCAUGGCCGUCGUCAGCUCGUGUCGUGAGAUGUUUGGUUAAGUCCAGCAACGAGCGCAACCCCUGUUGCCAGUUACCAGCACGUGAAGGUGGGGACUCUGGCGAGACUGCCCAGAUCAACUGGGAGGAAGGUGGGGACGACGUCAGGUCAGUAUGGCCCUUAUGCCCAGGGCUGCACACGUACUACAAUGCCCAGUACAGAGGGGGCCGAAGCCGCGAGGCGGAGGAAAUCCUAAAAACUGGGCCCAGUUCGGACUGUAGGCUGCAACCCGCCUACACGAAGCCGGAAUCGCUAGUAAUGGCGCAUCAGCUACGGCGCCGUGAAUACGUUCCCGGGUCUUGCACUCACCGCCCGUCA